Mauremys reevesii (Reeves's turtle) is the source of this 852-nucleotide long non-coding RNA. RefSeq lists it as uncharacterized. The record is from RefSeq and is a predicted model, not a curated record. NCBI's taxonomy places the organism in Eukaryota, Metazoa, Chordata, Testudines, Geoemydidae. The transcript is spliced from 4 exons.
CAUAGGCUUAUGCAAGGUCAUUUAAUCAGUAUCUCUACCUGUAUGGCAAUAUAGCUUAAUUUUUUUAAAAUAUGACUAUAGGCCCAUAUCCUGUGCCCUGGGUAUCUAUCCCAUAAAUUAAACAAAGGAUUAUCCAAAAAUACCCUACCUCAGUACCCUCCCUCCUCAACAGCCUUAGAGAAGAAAGAAUAAAGAUGAGGUUUGCAUCAUUUGCAGAAGAUUAACAAAUAUGGGCUCUGGCAGACCAAAAUGGGGAGUGAGUUUCAAAACCAUGGACUGCUCUCAGAGAACGACCUACCAGAAAUUCUCUCUUAUUGAUAUUGAGAUAGCUCCAGCUCAAGUUCCAAUGCAGAUCUCAACUGUGGCCAUAUGUCACACAGAGGCAGAUGAUCUUUCAGGGAAGCUGCUGUUGGGUACUCCAUCACUCUGACAUUUUUUCAGCCAGGAUAAUGAUGGAGCAAACAAGCAGAGCAGCUGACUCAGGAGCAAGUUGCAGGAUUGCAGCGUGGCUAAGCAACCACUUUAACAGCCUUCCAUAUUGGUUAGUGUGAUGGCUCCACCUUGCAAAUGCAUGUAUUGCAGGACAGCAGGAUUCAGCGGUUGCCCCAUCCAGUUAGCAGAUGCUGGAACCCUGCAGAGUGCUGCAGAUUAAUUCCUGCUCACUCACAAAGACAGAAGUGGCUCAUUAGACUUCACUUCUGAAAGAGGGGGCUUGGGUCUGGAACUGACAGGUCCUGAGAGAACGAACCCCAGAAGCAGUCAAGCUCCUAGUAGGAAGGCUUAGGCUGGGAAAAGAGCCAUAGGAGCAGCCUAGUUUGAGCAGGUAUCUUGGGCUGAUAUUCUGUAAUGACU